GUCCUCAUGAUUUUAUUUGAGGUUUGGCCUGCCCGGUGAUAUUUAUUUAACGGCCGCGGUAUAUUGACCGUGCAAAGGUAGCAUAAUCAUUAGUCUCUUAAUAGGGGGCUGGAAUGAAAGGUUUAACGAAAAAUUAACUGUCUCAAUUAUAGUUUUGAAUUUAACUUUUAAGUUAAAAGGCUUAAAUUUUGUUGGAGGACGAGAAGACCCUAUAGAGCUUUACACUUUAUUUUGGAUGAUUUUAUUUAGUUAGAUAAUUUAAUUUUAUUUAAAUGCGUGUUUUGUUGGGGUGACAAGAAAUAUAUGAUUAACUUUUAUUAUUUUUUAUUCAUUAAUUUAUGUUUAUUGGAUCCAAAAUUUUUGAUCAUUAGAUUAAGUUACCUUAGGGAUAACAGCGUAAUCUUCCUUCGGAGUUCAAAUUUACAGGGAGGCUUGCGACCUCGAUGUUGGAUUAAGAUAAUAAUUAGGUGCAGUAGCUUAAUUAAUAGGUCUGUUCGACCUUUAAAUUCUU
Molecule: ribosomal RNA, 511 nt
Filed under: Pseudagrion australasiae
Lineage: Eukaryota; Metazoa; Arthropoda; Insecta; Odonata; Coenagrionidae
Description: partial 16S rRNA
Rfam family: Bacterial large subunit ribosomal RNA
Source: RNAcentral